RNAcentral lists this ribosomal RNA (253 nucleotides) under uncultured bacterium. RNAcentral describes it as "partial 16S ribosomal RNA". It matches the Rfam family "Bacterial small subunit ribosomal RNA", at positions 524 to 776 of the family's 1533-position model. The record is from RNAcentral.
UACGUAGGGUGCGAGCGUUGUCCGGAUUUAUUGGGCGUAAAGAGCGUGUAGGCGGUUAGGUAGGUCCGUUGUGAAAACUCGAGGCUCAACCUCGAGACGCCGAUGGAAACCAUCUGACUAGAGUCCGGAAGAGGAGAGUGGAAUUCCUGGUGUAGCGGUGAAAUGCGCAGAUAUCAGGAAGAACACCCGUGGCUAAGGCGGCUCUCUAGUACGUGACUGACGCUGAGACGCGAAAGCGUGGGGAGCGAACAGG